AAGGGAGACCUAAUUCAGGUAGGAGACGAAAAAAAAGUAGUCGCUACCAAGAAUCAAUCCCAAAAGGUCGGAGCGAGGCGAAAUUGGCUUUCAAACUAGGUUCUGGGUUCACACAAGACCUGAAUCAGGAACAAGGGCUAUUAGCUCAGGUGGUUAGAGCGCACCCCUGAUAAGGGUGAGGUCCCUGGUUCGAGUCCAGGAUGGCCCACCUGUACAGGUGGCAAAAAGAAAGAAAAGAAGCGAGGAAUCAGCACCUUAUCUUACUGACAUAGUAAGAGAGAAUGCUGGCUCUGAGUAAAGAGUCCAGAGGAACCUUGAAAACUGCAUAGGGCUAGGUGAAAAAGCCAAAAAAGAAGACCGCAA
This 363-nucleotide transfer RNA is filed under the name uncultured Microcystis sp. Its description in RNAcentral is "partial 16S-23S ribosomal RNA intergenic spacer". The stretch from base 135 to 208 matches the Rfam family "tRNA". The record is from RNAcentral. Lineage: Bacteria; Bacillati; Cyanobacteriota; Cyanophyceae; Chroococcales; Microcystaceae.